GAUUUCCUGCUCUCAGCUUUGGCCCUACUCCUCGCACUCAGGCUGAUUCUGCGCACUUACAAAUCUUCUCCUCUUGGAUUUCUCCUGCGCGCUCGGAUUUUUGUAGUGUUACAAUCCUAUCAAAAUUCCCCAACCAAUAGAAUGCCAGGUGUAGUGUUGACCAAUUAAAUGAUCCCUGCCCUGUUGAGGGUGCGUUUGUUUUACGUUAGAACGUCUGUUGCGGACAACUGUAACCAAGUUUAUUUACCCCUGUCGUCCAUCGCUUUAUUAUUAGUAUAUGUCAACAAUGUGCACAGAAUGGUCAACGCUCUUUCACCUGCACCCAUCAGGAAACGGGAGAAAGCUUUGAAGUGGGACAUAUCAAGUUAGGUCCACAACUACGAGGGUGUGACUGAAGUACCCCUGUUGAGCUGUAUCACAGCUGCACCGUGUGCAUGGACCAGUGUUGUACAACCACACUACACUACUGUGUUGUUCCAGUCAGUACAUUACUCCCAACGCAAAAUCCCAUUGGACUCACCUGUGUGCAGAGGGCAGGCAGCAGUGGCACAAACCAAGAACGGUGCACAACCAGGCCCGGGAGAGAAAAUUACCGUGAUGUCUACAAAACCAAAGCAGAGAAGGAGCACACUAUACAAAGACAACAGUUGAGAGUUGCUGGAUCUGUCUGUCCUCAAAUUGCCAGAGAUCUACAAGGACUUCACCCGUUUCUGCACCAUCACCUGGAUAAUCCAAGUGAUAAAAAAGAGAACAAACUAUUGUGUUCUCUGCUUCCAUGAAUAGGUGUCUGUAAUGUCUGCCAACAUAUACAAUCAAUUCAAUAAAUGUUGAUAAGUAUCACUGAUAUUUCUUAAAUCAUUGUAGUUUUUCAGAGCAAUAAGAUACAGAUUAUUAAAGCCAUGUUCAUAUUUGCAACAAAUUAAAACCCUGAUCAAGGCAAAUAGGUUUUUUCAUGUUCUGUAACCUUUAUAAAAAAAAAAAAAAAGUACAAUUAAAUUUACCA
This is a long non-coding RNA of Sander lucioperca (pikeperch), 1003 nucleotides long. RefSeq lists it as uncharacterized. The transcript is spliced from 4 exons. The record is from RefSeq and is a predicted model, not a curated record. Lineage: Eukaryota; Metazoa; Chordata; Actinopteri; Perciformes; Percidae.